AACGAACGCUGGCGGCAGGCUUAACACAUGCAAGUCGAGCGCCCCGCAAGGGGAGCGGCAGACGGGUGAGUAACGCGUGGGAACGUACCUUUUGGUUCGGAACAACUCCGGGAAACUGGAGCUAAUACCGGAUAAGCCCUAACGGGGAAAGAUUUAUCGCCGAAAGAUCGGCCCGCGUCUGAUUAGCUAGUUGGUGAGGUAACGGCUCACCAAGGCGACGAUCAGUAGCUGGUCUGAGAGGAUGAUCAGCCACACUGGGACUGAGACACGGCCCAGACUCCCCGGGGGGGAAGCAGGGGGAAAUAUGGGACAAUGGCGCAAGCCCAGACCAACCCAUGCCGCGGGAGUAAGAAAGCCUUUAGGGUUGAAAACCUCUUUUGUCCGGAAAGAUAAUCCGUGUCCCGAAAAAAUAGCCCCCGGCAAACUUCGGC
RNAcentral lists this ribosomal RNA (431 nucleotides) under uncultured bacterium. RNAcentral's name for it is "partial 16S ribosomal RNA". It matches the Rfam family "Bacterial small subunit ribosomal RNA", at positions 29 to 508 of the family's 1533-position model. The record is from RNAcentral.